Molecule: long non-coding RNA, 256 nt
Organism: Suricata suricatta (meerkat)
Lineage: Eukaryota; Metazoa; Chordata; Mammalia; Carnivora; Herpestidae
Exons: 3
Source: RefSeq, a predicted model, not a curated record
CAAAACAGUACAGAAAACAUUGAUCAAAAUGAAAAAAUGGCAAAUGGAGACUGAGGUCAACGUUUGAACAGGAUUUAAGCACCAGCUCCCUGAUAGGAUUUCUUGCUCAUUGGUUCAUGCACGUUGAGUAGAAAGCCUGUCACGUUCCACAACACGGGGCCACACCAUUAUUCUGUUGAAGGAAAGAAGAUGUAGGUAUUUAAAGGAGAUUUUCAGGAGAGCUGGAACACGGAGUAUCUGUUUUGUUGACCUCAGG